This is a long non-coding RNA of Hipposideros armiger (great roundleaf bat), 3366 nucleotides long. RefSeq lists it as uncharacterized. NCBI's taxonomy places the organism in Eukaryota, Metazoa, Chordata, Mammalia, Chiroptera, Hipposideridae. The record is from RefSeq and is a predicted model, not a curated record. The transcript is spliced from 3 exons.
UCCCGCUUCGUGAGUGUUUCUUCGUUUCUUUAAGAGCUACCAGAAAGCAGUCCACCCCCCACCCCCAUAAAAAAAAAAAUAAGCGAGUGGGGACGAGCCAGCCCCACGCCGGUCCGCCUCCCGCCCGCGGUCAGGCCUCCCGCCCGCUCGCCGCCUGGCUCGGCGCUCCAUCGCCCCGAGUUCUCCUGCCCCUGGAUCCCGGGCUCGCGGGGGCGCGGAGAAGAGGACCCAGGAAAGAUGAGAAAAUGGAGCCUCUUGAGUAAUUUCCCUGAAAUCACAGAGUUUUGGAGCUGCUGGAUGCUUAAACCAGGUCUCGUGACAUCUUUAUGAGAAAACAAAACUAAACUAAACGGAACUAAACAACAAUGAAGCUUUCAUGUUUUAGGAAUCCCAGGUGGAGUAGAGACAGCUGUUAGCAUCCUGACCCCUCUACAAAUGGUGAGGACGAUACUUGUAUAGGGUCAGGCGGGCUUCCGAAUCAAACCCACAUUGAAAUCUCAGUUCUGCCAUAUCCUAGCAGUGACCUCGUUUGAACUUCAGUUUAAGAAAACGUGCUGAACUUCAGUUUGCCUCGUCUGUGAAAUGGGCAUAAAAAUAAGCCCUCCUCGAUAAGGUUAUUGUGCAGAUUGCUUGAACUUGGACAGGCCAGUGUCUGGCGUGUUCGUCAAAGGAAGGCAGUGGAAUUGAAAUGCAUCUCCUUGUCCCUCCUCCUCUGCCCACCUUCCCGUAUGCACUACAUGGAUUCCAGGCCUUUUCCAUACCCAGGACGGCCCCAAGCCCUAGCAGUGAAUCUGAUCCUUCAUCUAAUCAUGGCAUUGAUGUUUUUUAUUCCAUUGAAGGCAUCAAUAUUUGUUCAAUAGCAUAAGUCUUAAAUAAGCAUCUAAACGACAUGUUACAGAUGAUGAAAGUCAUUUCCGCGCAGAAGAUUAUCUCACACAAUCAUGCUCCCAUCGUUAUCUGGGGCCUCUACAGUUGGCAAACCUCCACGGCUACUUAAAUGAUAACAUUAGUCCUAAUACCGUGCAAAAUGACUGGUUCCUCGGGGUAGGUUUAGUUUUAAUAGUGUAUGUCAGCAGCAAAUAGCUCGGAAGACCCCAGAGGAAAAAGCACAGCUCAUGCUCUCACUGAAGCGAUGAUAUGGAUAUAUUUAAUAUCUGUAUUAAAACCCUUUUAGGCGCCAUGGUGAUAUUGAACUGGAUAGUUAGACAUGUGCAGGCAAAGCCCUUGGCUGUUUAUAGGGCACGACGCAGUGUGCAUUACAGAAACCUUUUGAGGUUGUUCAAAGUCGAAUUUGGGCUUCAAAAAUCUUUGACAGACAUUUGACCCCAGUUGUAAAAUGCUCUGAAACAAUCUGGGAGAAUGAAAUCGCCUCCUUUUUAUUUCUUUGGUUUCUUGGUACUGAUAAGUUUGCUGCACUGUUAAAAUGUCUAAUCACUUGCCUCCAGCAGCAGCAAGCUUCCAUCAGAAGUUGCAAUUUAUUAGGGCACCCAGCACAUACUUGCUGUUUAUGCAGAAGAUGGCCAGGGAUCCUCAGAGGGAAAGCAAACCACAAUUUGGAAUCCAGCAUAGAGUCAUGGAUGAAGGGAUGGAAAACGAAAGUUACUUGGGAGUCGAUGUCAGGGGAGAUCAUGGAAAAGCUACACCGAUUUUCUACUCCAAAUGCUCAGGGUGAAAUCAUAGAGUCCAGCCUGGACCGAGAGGGGUGUCUGACCUGCACCAGGGAGGGGAGAAGGGGCUGCGGGGGACAAAGACGCUUGCUAGGGAUAUACACCUUCCAAGAAAGGGCAGUCCUCUCUGCUUCAGGGUGUGGUCAGAGAAGACCAUAGGAAGAGCAAUGAACAGAUGCAAAUUUUAGCAGAUGGCUACUCUCAAUGUCCAUGCCCAUUGGCCCUCGUAGGUGUGGACCUCACUUCAGCCUUUGUACCUUAACCAAGGGCAAACUGAGUUCUGUAGCAGGGGACCGUCUCUGAGACAGCGAGGCCAUUGGACUAUGGCAACUGCAGGCAUCUUGGGAUGGCCUCAUUGGCACAAUACCACAGACCUCGCCCUUGGAGAAAGGGUCGUGGAGGCCCCUUGGAUGACCACAAAGAGUUACCUCCUUCUGGUAACCAGUCACCCAGGAUGGUGCCUGGGAGGGCACCUGGAGAUACUGAGCCAAAUUGGGACUGUCAGGUCACUAUUCUCUAAGAAUGGACGUAUAAAGAUAUAGGGGAUUCCCUACAUAUCAUCCUGGGUCCUUGGCUGGACAAAUAGCUCAAGUUCCUUUAACAUUUUUGAUAACUGUAUUUCAAACCGGGUUAUAAGGAAUAACAGGUCUUCCGGCAGAAAAGGGUGCUAUAGCUGUCAAUUUGGGAAAUGUACACCUUGAAGAGUCACAGUGACAUAUUAAUGGCUCUGAUAUGUGCUGAAAGGAGAAACUAGCCAACAAAAGUGGUUUCACUCUGUUUACCCUGGCGUUUCCACCAGUGGUUUGGCUAUGAAUUCCUUUCUUCACAGGAAGUCUACCAUCAUUGAACCCCUGUGAUACUCAAUUUAAGAAUCACUGUGUGGUAGCAGAAUUCUAAAAAUGCUCCCCCCUUUCCAAGACCCUCUCCUGAUCAUUCAGUUCAACCCAAGUAUGGCUACUGCAGUAAAGAGAUUUUGCAGACGUAAUUAAAGUUAAGCAAACUGACCCUACGAUACAGAUUAUCCAGGUGGGCCUGACCCAAUCAGUUGAGCCCUUGAUUGAAAGGAUGAGAAGGAGGGGAAGUGCCCUCACCGCAUUUGGAGGUGGAAGGGGCCCCCUGAGAAGGAACGUGAGCAGCCUGGAGAAGCAGAGAGCAACCCCGGCUGACAGCCAGCAAAGAAAUGGGGGUGCCAUAUCUGCAGACACAAGGGAUGGGAUCGUGCCAACAAACAACCUGAAGGAACCUGACAGCACAUUCUGCCCAGAGCCCCCAGAUGAGGAGAACGCGGUGGCCAGUACCUUGAUUUUGGCCUUGGCAGAUUCUGUGAGAGGACCAGGUGAGCCCGCCCACGUCUGACUCACAGACCGGUGAGAUAAUAAAUGGGCGUUGUUUUAAACCACUAAAUUUGUGAUAAUCCGUUAUGCAGCCAUAAAACACGAAUACGUGCUCAUUCAGAGAAAUGAAAGCAGGGUUAAUUGUGGUACACUCUUCCCGCCUCCGUUACAUUUAUAAGGUGUUUUACAGGUAACAAAACACUUCCAUCUAUCGAUGCAUACCAGCAAUGCUCAGAUGCGGCCGGACAGGUGUUUCCAUUUCUACAGGUGAGGAAUAGACUCGGGAAGGUGGAAGGACUUGCCCAAGACACAAGGCUGCUCAGAUGGGGCUCUUUUUGUGACGUGUGUGUGUGUAUGUGUGUGUG